Molecule: long non-coding RNA, 467 nt
Organism: Polyodon spathula (Mississippi paddlefish)
Lineage: Eukaryota; Metazoa; Chordata; Actinopteri; Acipenseriformes; Polyodontidae
Exons: 3
Source: RefSeq, a predicted model, not a curated record
AUUUUUUUGAGGACCCUGAACAGCUGGAAGAGUAUUUUAAGAUACCUUUCGAGGACCUGCCUUUGGCCUUUGAAGUGUCAAAAAAAAGCCCUGAAGAAACCAAAAGGUACUUCGCUGCAACCACAUCUGAGGGCUUCCAUGUAAAGAAAAACAACCAUAAACCGUCAAUAGCUGAAAAAAGACCACUCAAAAAACGACCCGCAAGAACUCCUGUUAUAGUGGUCAGCGAUUCGUCUUCUGAGGACAACACAGCCGCUAUCGGGGAUUCAAAGUCUAAAAGGCCGCGUAGAAUUUCCAGAAGUUUACGCGAUUCCACGAGUCCGAGAGUCACCCCUCCAGUCUCUAAAGCACCUCCUAUUCUGAAAACAACGCCUGUCUCACCUUCGAAAAUUAGGUAUCACAGUGUGGAUCUCUUGAAACAUGUACAUGUGACUAUAGAUCAGAUCAUUAACCGCCAUCCUGCUAUA